This 82-nucleotide transfer RNA is filed under the name Novosphingobium silvae. RNAcentral's name for it is "Novosphingobium sp. FGD1 tRNA-Lys". Lineage: Bacteria; Pseudomonadati; Pseudomonadota; Alphaproteobacteria; Sphingomonadales; Sphingomonadaceae. RNAcentral also lists the same sequence under 1 other name. The record is from RNAcentral.
GGACACAUGCGGAUGCGCUAGGACCCUCUGAUCAUGGCUCUUAAUCAGCGGGUCCUUGGUUCGAGCCCAAGUGCGUCCACCA